AAUCCAUGGAUGUUUAAGGGUGCAUAAUAUAAAUUAAUUUUAUUUUUGUUAUGUAUUUUUGUUUGAUUUUUCCAUUAAUAUGUUGUAUUUUCUUAAAACUGGCUGAGGUAUUAGAAAUUUAGACCAUAGACAUAUUGAAAUGAACUGAAGCUUGAAGUACUGUCGAAAUUGAGGGUUCUUUCUGAUAAAAUUUAGGACUUUUUCAUUGGAUGCCUAAACAAUCAGCGGUGCUAGGGAGAAGACUAUUUUCCAUGAAUUUUUUGGAAAAAAACAAUGGUUGGAGCAGUCUCAGUUGAUGUCAAUGGAUCAUGUGAGAGGGUUAUUGCAUGGGAAGAAAAGUAAAGCACGAGGUCCCUGAAGAUUGGGUCUGUGAAUCAUGCCAAAGUGUCAGUGACUCAGUUUUGAUGGAAUCUGGGAAGAGAGAUGAAGUUGUCACAAUAGCAAUGAGCAAGGGGAAAUUGUCAAUUUCACAACUUCAUUCCAAGAAGAAAAAGCCAGUAGAAACUGGUAAAGUUAAGUUCAUUCCUCAUGAAGAAAUCCUUAAGCUAUCUUCAGAGACCUUCAACGAGUCAAGAGGUCAGAAACUAAACAUUGCACGCUACUUGAUCUCAAAUGCCUACUAACUCUAGAGAGAAUAGGUAGAGAGAUGUGGAUAGCAUCUACAUUGCUAUAAAGUUUUGACUGUGUUGAAAUUGAUACUCAUCCUUUUCAU
Humulus lupulus (European hop) is the source of this 712-nucleotide RNA transcript. RefSeq lists it as uncharacterized. The transcript is spliced from 3 exons. The record is from RefSeq and is a predicted model, not a curated record. NCBI's taxonomy places the organism in Eukaryota, Viridiplantae, Streptophyta, Magnoliopsida, Rosales, Cannabaceae.